Non-coding RNA from Pelobates cultripes (western spadefoot toad), 3024 nucleotides. Lineage: Eukaryota; Metazoa; Chordata; Amphibia; Anura; Pelobatidae. The record is from the annotation of a GenBank genome assembly.
CGGCCUUUGACCCCAAAGUCAGUUACCAGGUUUCAUUUGCAUAAUUGCUGCUCAGCAUUAACCCUUCGGUGGAUUAGGUUGCUGCUCGGCACAACUUUUCCUGUGUGGACAGUAAAUGUCAUUAACCACAUUUCUAUAAGUGGAUGAAUACGUGACAUACAAACACAGCCAGCAGUGUUUGGUUAUCGAGUGUAUGGAACUAAAAUCGGACACUCAAUGGUGCGAACACCGCUGAGACUUCCAAGCCCACUUAUAUUUUACACUUUUCAUACGAAGAUAACAGUGUUUGGACUAUACCCCGGAGGCGUUUCUGCUAUAUUCAUGGGAUCUGAGUUAUUUCGAUCCAGACCCAGCUCAGAUCCAGACUAUCCGGGGAUAUAGAACUUGCAUGGGUACCUCAUUGUUAAAUGUGUAUUUUGGGGUAUUUUUAUUAUGCAUGUCCUGGACCUGAGAGAUAAUGUAAUUAUGUGUGUGCGUAUGUUGCUGUCCCCUCUCAGGUCCAGUGGGGAAUACCCCUGGAAUAUGUCACUAGAAACCCCUUACAUGGGGACUUGCAUAAAAAGCCAGCUGUGGCUCCAUUAAAAUCAGUUCUACUUUACCCUCAACACAGAGCCUCGUCUCUUGUUUGUAGGGAACUGGCUAUACCUGCUUCUCUCACUACUUGGAUGACUACUGGAAAUACUGUAACACGACACACUUGAGGGAAGGAUGUCUCUGGUGGUGGAAACCCCUUUACUCACCGGGGUGACCGCUAUAAUAACUUAAUCUCAAUUCUCUGUCUCUACCUAGAGACAUUUAAUUUUGUAUAUACUGCAAUUAACUCUUUUGUAUUAAUAUUAGUAUUAAAGGAUCACUAUAAUGUCAGGAAAACAUAGUGUUAAAACCCCUUCAGCAGCUUACCUUAUUCCAUCGCUGGGCUCCCUCAGCGCUGGUGACCUCUCCUCCCCUGUCGCCGUCAGCUACCCCGUCUGACAUCAGCGGAGCCGAAUGCGCAUGCGCAGCAGUGCCGCGCGCAUUCAAAGUGGCCAUAGGAAAGCAUUUCUCAAUGCUUUCCUAUGGAUGCUCUGCGUAAUGGAGGCAUAGUAUGCUUCCAGCGUCGCAGAUGCACCUCUAGUGGCUGUCCGGAAGACAGCCACUAGAGGCUGUUUUAACCCUGCAAUGUAAACAUAGCAGUUUCUCUGAAGGGUUAAAACCUGAGGGACCUGGCACCGAGACCACUUCAUUGAGCUGGAGUGGUAUGAAAAUCUCUGAAAAUGGCUGAAAAUCUCUGAAAAUAAAUUAUUGUGCCAAAGUAAAAUUUCAAAACAAAAAUCAUGUUUGUACUUUAGGACUCAAAAAGCCACUUCAGCAGGAAUCUGUCAUGGAAAAGUAUUGAGGCAGGAUUCAAUUGGGUAUGGUAGAGGCAAUUAAUUGAGUGUGCUAAUAUAUCUAAGGUGUUUUUAGUUUAGUUUUUGUGAUGUUUUGUAUAAAUAAGCCAAUAAUUCCUGUAUAACUAAGUACUCACUUUAUUAAUACAUAUAUAACAGGAUCUUCAUAUUGCAGCCUUGUUACACAGGGUUUCUGCAGCCGCCAUUUCAAAUCCCUGGGAACAUUCCACCAACUGCCAACAGGAACAGGAAGUAAAGAACCAAAAGAAAGGAAGUGCAUCAUUCACAGCCAACAACAGCCCAACUGCCCAAUGCCCAUACAUCACAACACAUACUCAUACACUCACACACUCAUACACAGCCCAACUGCCCAUACAUCACAGUUUUUAGUUUGAGGAUAUCCAAUUGUUCAUGUAUAUAGAAUCCCUAUACAUGUUUUCAAAAAGUAUUAUAAGCAUAGCACAUAACCUACAGAAGUUAGUUUGGUAUAAACAUUGCUCUUAAGUCUAUAGUGGGAUUUAGCUAUUGCUCAAGCAUAAUUUUAUACAGUACUCUCUGUGAUAAAACAACUUGCACCCCGACUGGACACCUCCACCAACAGAUGCUUCCUAGCUGACAAUGAGGACCAUAAGCACCACACCGGACACCGCAAGCACCGCAGAUUCCAAAACCACCGUAGCUUAGCUGGGAUCUUGCCAUCUUCCUCCCAACCUGGACCAACCUCGGAUAUCCAGGACCAUGUGGGAAAGACCUCUCCUACUCCAGAGAGCGUAACAGGAACAGCUCUUACAAGAGCUAGUGAUUAGAACCCAGGGGGUAUAAGGAGUAUAGCAAUCCUCAGUGUGAAUAUAGCAGUUCCCCUCCAAUCAUGAGACAAGGCUACGUGUUGAGGGUUAAGCAGGAAUCUCAAUGUUAAUGGAGCCACAAUGGCCUUUUAUGCAAGUUUCCCAACAAGGGUGACACCCAAGCGGACCUUUUUGGGCACAGGGCCACAAGUUAACAAACCAAUAAAAACAGCAAUUAAAUGUACGACACUCCCAAAACAAGCAUACAAUACCUCCACUCUGCCUGUGAGAUAAUUGAGUCAGAUACUGUAUUAGCCCAAUUAUCUCCAGGCAGAAAAACACACAUUUUUACAAAGUCUUAUAAGUACCCCAACAUAUCCCCAUAAGUCACAUCCCCUGAUAGGCCUGAUCUGGGUGAACAACAUAUCCAAAAAUCACCCCGAUAAGAGCAGGGGUUCAGGAAAUUCCUGGAAGUCUCUUUUUUGACCAACUGCAGGCAUGGUCCCAUGCCCAAAAUAGUUCUAGAGAAUUGGGGUCUGCAGCCGGUCUAUUUUGGUAGUUUGCAAAUGAACACUCUACCAUACAAAGUCAAUAGUCUUACCCUGGAGCUCGUUCCCUUCAUCCAGACGAAUGAUCUCACCGAACAGUGCCCUUCUAAGCUGAAUAGAAACAAAUGCAGGCGAUGAUGGAAGUCCAGCGAUGUUCAGGAGUUUCUGUAUCCGAUUUCAGUUCCAUGAGAUUCAUGCCCAAACACCUUAUCAGCAAAAACAUAUGUCACCUAACCAUCUACCUGAUACAUCUGUCACAUAUCUACCUGAUGCUUACCUCCUCCUACAGCACUAACUGCAGUACAUCAAGCAACAAUAUAUGAU